Fukomys damarensis (Damara mole-rat) is the source of this 797-nucleotide non-coding RNA. The record is from the annotation of a RefSeq genome assembly. NCBI's taxonomy places the organism in Eukaryota, Metazoa, Chordata, Mammalia, Rodentia, Bathyergidae.
AUGAAGCCAGGGGUGGAACAGGCAGGCUGGAAGAUCCCUCGUGGGCCAGGCCUUCUCCCCGGGAGGUGCAAGGGCCUUCUGCUGCUGCUGCUGCUGGGCCUGGCCAGGAGCACCCAGGGCCCACCGCCCCUGACAGCGGCGCCACGGAGCAGGACUCCAGGCCCAGGAGCCUCUGUCCUGCGGAACAUGUGGGGCAGAAGGUUCCCGGGCCAGGCCCGCCCCUGGGAGGCAGGUCCCAGGUGCUGGCCCCACGGCUUUCGGUCUGCGUCUCAGUCACCGUGGUUUGUCUUUGGCAGCGGAACCCAGCUCACUGUCCUAGGUCGGCCCAAGGCUGCCCCAUCAGUCACCCUAUUUCCACCCUCCUCCCAAGAGCUCCAGACCAACAAGGCCACAUUGGUGUGUCUGAUAAAUGACUUCUACCCAGACACCAUGAUGGUGGUCUGGAAGGCAGACGGCACCCUCAUCACCCAGGGUGUGGAGACCGCCCAGCCCUCCAAACAGAGCAACAGCAAGUACAAGGCCGUCAGCUACCUGACUCUGACGCCCGGCCAGUGGAGAUCUCACAAAAGAUACAGCUGCCAGGUCACACACGAAGGGAGCGUUGUGGAGAAGAGUGUGUCUGCUGCAGAAUGUUCUUAGGUCCACAACCCGCAUCCUGCCCUCCAGGGGCCGGAGCACAAGGGCCUGGGGAGAGGUUUCGCCCUCCCACUCUGGCCACGCUCCCUGUAUCCAACGAAUGCUCAAUAAAAUAUCCAUUUUACAGAUAAGUCCAGUUCCAUCUCGUUUGUCCUUUUCCC